This is a non-coding RNA of Physcomitrium patens, 6593 nucleotides long. The record is from RefSeq and is a predicted model, not a curated record. Lineage: Eukaryota; Viridiplantae; Streptophyta; Bryopsida; Funariales; Funariaceae.
CCAGCAGCAAGGUGCACAAGUGGAAGAAGAGUAGGGUCAAAUGCGAAUACCCGAUGGCUUUUGUUUCCACCGCUUACGUCGGAGUUUACUAGUUGGUUCGCCGUGAAGCCAUCUGGAGGCAAUUCAUUUGGCAUUUCGCUCCAGGGGCUGUAGAAGUUUUAGCGUUACGCAGUCGUUCCAGUAAUGGCUAUUUUAGAGCUUCUCCCCGAAGACGACGACGGCAAUUGCUGCCCGUAUCGCUGAAAAUAUUUGUGUUCGCCAGUACUGUUCCUUUGCUACGGGUGCAAGCUGCUCGUAGGAAGUAUAUUUGACCUACUCGGAUUUGCGACGGAGCAUGGGAAGGGAAGGGACUGAUAUGCCAGACAAGAGAGUAGUGAAGUCAUGCGAUGCGAUUUCUGUACACUGGCUCGUGGACCGGACGUAGUAUGAUGGCAGGGUCAAGUCUAUGAAUGUUGGUUCUGGCAUUUGCAAAGUUCUGUAUGACAAUGGCAAGAGCGAGACGGUGAAUUUGUUCAAGGAAAGUCACAAAGUCAACGGGGGCGGGAAUGGAAAUGAGCUGAUCGAAAGAGUGUUGGCAGACUAUGAAGAAGUGUCGAUGCUGCUUGGACGCAUCGGUGUCGUUCUUCGUGAUGUGUGGGUGAGCAUCCGUUUCUUACGAUGUAUAUUCGUAAAAUUUUCAUUGAAAGUUUAGUUUUGCUCGCUUCAUCCAGGAUAAAAAUGCUGAGAAAGCGCUUAGGGAUGCCUCGGCAGCAUGCUGUUCAAAUGGGUAAAGUUGGUGGUCUGAUUGGUACUCUGGAAGCUGGAAAUGGAAUACGUUGGCAAAUGUAAUUACGAUCUUGCUUGCCAGCUUUGGACUAAUUUAUCUACCCCAUGGUGCACAGCGAAGAUCAAGAACAAUUUUCAUGCUGGAAGUUAGGCGGAAAGCUUCCUUACCUUAGGAGGAACAUAUCUCAUCUUGGAAAACAGGAGAAAGAACAGGGAAGGGUAUGAUGAGUGAACAGGUUAAAGAUGGUCUUUCUGAUAGGUUAAGAAGAGAUGUUUAUGAAGGGUAUUAUGGCGCAGAUGUUGAAGAGGAUAAAUCAAAUGUUGAACCAGAAAAUUCAUUGGACAUCACAGGCAAAGAUCAUUGUGGUCAGAAAGGAAACAAGAGAACCUCAAGGAUAAGUAGAGAUGCUGAAGAAGAUGGUAAGACUGAAGAUUCCUGCGGAGUCGGAAAUAGUCCACAACCGAUGAGUGGUACUCCGCAGCCUAAGAAUGCAAAAAGGUCGAGAAUAACGAAACGAAGAAUGCCUGACCACGAGGAAAGGAACUCCGAGGAGGAGCAUACGGGCGACAUUAGUGGAGAUGCUGAACUGGCCACAAGCAAAGUGAAGCAAGGACUGAAAGAAAUUCAGAGCGCUUUAAGGACAGGAAAUGUACCUGAUAAUAAAACAAAUAUUGGUGCUCGUAGCAGUUUCACUAGAAGUGCAAAAGUGACGGGGUCUAGUGUGCAGCCGAAAAUCGGGGAUAAUCAGAGAAGGCUACGGCAUAUCAAAGAGGUAGAGCCAUCAGAGAAUGAAGGUUUAGAUGACGAAAGUUCUGGGGCAGGAAGUUCAGAUGGCACUUUUUCUGAUAGUUCUCAGGAGUCUGACCGAGGGAAACAUGCCAAAUCAAUAACACGGACUAGAGUGUCAAAGCGAAAGUCAGAUGAGAUUGUUUCUUGUUUUGAAAAGAAAGUCAGAAGACGAGGAAGCAGGCUUGGCAAUUCUGGUCCAGGAAAAUCGUCAAGGGAGGCUCGAAGUGAGGUGAAUGGCGAUUUUGUCAUGGAGGGAAAUAUAGACGUUUCGUCGUGCAACGAAAAUGACAAGGGCAUAAUUGAUGGAAAGAUCAAUGGUAUUAGUGGUGAUAACUGUGCUCAAUAUCAUAUGAAACAGAGGUUUUCCAAGAAGGGAGAAGUUUCAAGAAUUAAGCAGAAACCUCAACGGGAUGGAAAUUCAUUAGAUGAAGAAGUUUGCUCCGUUUGUGAGUUCGCAGGAGCAGCAGAUUCGAUGUUGUUGUGUGACGGAGAGACCUGUGACGAAGCUUUCCACUUGUUCUGUUUGAAAUUCCCUCUUCAAGCUAUACCUGAAGGAGACUGGUUGUGUCCUCUCUGCUUAUAUGUGGAACGUGCGAAGGAAGCCAUUGGCACAAUUGUGAAACGAACUUCGAAAUUGCGCACCAGAAUGAUUCCUCCAUUAAAAAAAAUUGAGGGAAUAUUUGGAUUUCGUAAAGGUCCCUCUUUGGCUGAGGGUGAGGGUCAGAAGCAAAGGAAGCUACAAUAUCUUGUGAAGUGGUGUUCCCUUUCACAUCGGCAUGAUACUUGGGUCCCUGAAGAAUGGCUUUUAUUUGCUGACAAGACUCGCCUCGCCACCUAUCAACGCAAAUCCUCUGUUGGAGACGGAGAAGAGAUGUCUGAUGAGCGCAGGCCAGAGUGGGUGCAGAUAGAUCGCAUUAUUGCUUCUCGUAAUCAAGAUAAUGACUGUGUACCUUCUUCACCAGUAGCUUGGGAAGCUCCGGGAUUGAACUCCAGCAGAAAGGAGUAUUUAGUCAAGUGGACUAACAUAGAGUACAACGGAUCUACGUGGGAGGAAGAGAACAAUCACGAAGACAUGCAGGAAGCUAUAUCUAAGUUCAUUGAGAGGCAUAAUUUGGCAGAGAAAAGAGCGUGCACCGAUCAAGCAGACCAGGUUAUAGCACCUGCGAUUACAGAACAACCAAAAUAUAUUUCUGGAGGAGUUCUUCACGACUACCAACUCCAGGGUCUGAAGUGGUUGCUUAGUAACUUUCAGCAGCGGAAAAGUGUCAUACUGGCUGAUGAGAUGGGCUUAGGAAAAACAAUUCAAGCUGUGAGCUUCAUUAUGGCUCUCAAAUACGAGAAUCUUAGUAACAAACCUGUCUUGGUAAUAGGUCCAAAGAGUACCCUGGUCGGAUGGGAACAGGAGUUUGGACAAUGGGGAGCAGAUCUGAAUACAGUGAUUUAUCAAGGUGACAAAGAAAGUCGGACAAUGAUACGCAACUAUGAGUUUUUCACGAGAGAGAAAAUUCCUCUUUUUGAUGUUUUGGUAACAUCUUAUGAUCUGGCAAUGCUUGACAGCUCCCUUUUGGAAAAAAUGGAUUGGGCUUGCAUCAUAGUUGAUGAAGGACAUAGAGUUAAAAAUACAAGAUCAAAACUUGGAAUCCUUCUCCGGCGGCAGAAAGCUGAUUUUCGGCUCUUGCUUACAGGCACACCCGUACAGAAUACUUUGACAGAGUUGUUUGCACUCUUGCACUUCCUGGACCCGGUUGAGUUCCCAGAUCCGGAGAGGUCAGCUCAGGAGUUUUCUCAAGUGGACGCUCUCAGUGGAGCAGGUUCCAAAGGAGAGGGUGGGGUAGAUCAGCAAGUUUCUCGGCUUCAUAAGCUUCUGACACCUCGAAUGCUGAGAAGAUUGAAGGCAGAUGUUAUGCAAGGAAUGAUACCUGGGAAAAAAUACGUGGAAGUUCUGUGUGCUCUCACACCUCUUCAGCGGCAUUUAUAUGGGGCCAUUUUAAAGAAGAAUUACAAGCAGCUUAAUCGUGGCAAUACUACUGGUAAGAAAAGAUCACUCAACUUCAUCCUGAUGGACCUAAAGAUGGUCUGCAAUCAUCCGUAUCUAUUUCCUGGCAAGGAACCUGAACAUGGUGAUGCGGAUGAAUUAUUUAGGCUGCUUAUAACUGCCUCAGGAAAACUUCAAGUUCUUGCGAAGCUUCUUCCGAGACUGAAAGAAGGUGGUCACCGGGUGCUCCUAUUCUCUCAAAUGAAGAGCAUGCUCGACAUCUUGGAGGACUUUUUGAGUCACCUGGAUUACAAGUUCUGUAGAAUUGAUGGAAGUACACCUGCCUCCGGAAGACAGAAGCAGAUUGCCGAUUUCAAUAGUGCCAACUCCGAUGUAUUCAUCUUCCUCAUCUCAACUCGUGCUGGAGGCCUUGGGAUCAAUUUGCCAAGUGCAGAUACAGUCAUUAUCUACGAUCCUGAUUUUAAUCCAUUCGUAGAUUUGCAAGCCCAAGCUCGGGCUCAUCGUAUAGGUCAGAGGAAUGUAGUGCUUGUUUACCAGCUUAUUACUAAAUGUUCUGUAGAAGAGAAGAUUACUGAAAGGUCCCGCCAGAAAUUGGCCAUGGAAAACCUGGUCAUGAGUUCAAGCGAGAAAGACACAGCUGAGGAUGUUAACACUCUUCUUCUACAUGGAGCACGCAAAGUUCUUGAACAGUACGAUGUAGAAUGCACGUCAGUGAAGUGGACAGAUGAGAAAAUUGAAUUGCUUUUGAAUAGAGAUAUUUCAGAUACAAAAGAAAUGGAGGAUGGUGCUGGUUAUCUUGGUACAGUGCAAGAACCUGGAGGUAUGUUGGGUGCUCUUCCUUUGGAGGGGAGUCCUUUAAAAACUGGUCUAGAAUGGGAUGACCUACUUGGAAAAUUGGCAGAACAGGAUAUGGAAGCUGAAGAAGCUAAGUUAGGGAGAGGGAAAAGGCAGCGCAGAAAGAUCCAAUACAAAUUUGAGCCCAAUAUCAAUGCUCAUGAGGAUGAAGAGGGUGAAGGAAAUGCUUUUGAAGGCGACCCUACUUGCAGUGGCGCGCCGGCCAGCUCGUCAGGGUCUGAUUCUGAUGUUAGUCUUGAUGACAAAAAAAUGACGGGAACACGCGGUCCAUAUUUGACAAAGGUUAAAUCCAUGAAGGAGGAGCAAGGAGUAAGUUCACUACCACCACAGCAGCAUCCUGGCCCAGGUGCUUCCGAGCUGCCCAAACCAGAUUCCUCAACUUCGAUCCCUCUAGUGUUGCCAAAACAUUUCCAGCCCUCCGAAGUCAUUUCACCUCGACCUUCUUUGGUGCACAUAAAUGAACCUAGUGCAAUACUGCCUACAUACUGCACUCCAUCUCUUUCUCCUUGGUCUUCUCCACAUCUUCCACAAACCACUUCAGCAGUAGUUUCAAGCAAUAACCAGUCUCCUGGUUUAAAUUAUGCUGGUUUCUCAAUCUCAUACCCUCAUACUUGGAACGAAAUGUCUGCUAGUGCUGGAUCAUUUCAAAGUUCAAAGGCUUCUUGGGAGUAUUCCGCGCCUCGUUUCCAUGGCUUGAGUGGUGCCUCAGUUUCUCUCCCACAGCCGUUGCAGCCUCUGCAGUCUCCUCUGUCUUGUCCGAAGGAACUUCCAAUCCCUCCAGCUCGAUCUCUAGUUCAUGGUCCUGCUCCUCAUUAUGUUGCUAGUCAUAAAGUUUCUGAGAGCUUGAGUCCAAAGGACUUAAAGAUUACUCUAACCUCCAGUAUCAUGCAACAGGGGACAAGUCCUAAAGAAUUGAAGGUUACUUCGACAUCCACAAGCAUUCAACCAGAAAGAAAGCCUCAUAAGUCUCCUAUGGUUCAGACUGCAAUUCUAGAGAUUGACAGAAGAUACUUGAGUUCUCCACUUGAGCCAAAUGUCAUGCCCUUUCCUAUGCCAAAGUCACAUUCAUUGCCAUACAAAACAAACAUAAGGCCAGUUGACGUAGUUGCUCCUCAAGAGGGUACAACAUUUCGAGGGGUUUUCUCCCAAGUGUCCAACGAGCGAGCCAGCAACCCAGAGUAUCUGUCCUUAGCAGAAGUUUUGAGGCAGACUGGGUCGCAUUUGUCAAGUUCCCAGGCUUCCCCAACGUUUACUGCUCUUCAAGAUGCCAAGGGAUUAUCCUUGGAAGAAGUCUUACGGCAAACAGGUUCACCUUUGUCAAGAUCACAGGCUUCCCCAAGAACGAUGGUUCUGCCAGAUGCGAAGGGCUUGUCCUUGGAAGAUGUAUUACGGAAAACAGGGUCUACGUUAACAGCUACUAAGCGUGCCUCAACCACAGGAACUUCAUCACAACUUUUCGAGGAAGCCAAGAACAUGUCUUUGCAAGACGUCCUACGGCGCACUGGUGCUACCAAUAUUCCUACCGAAGAGCUUAAUAAGCGAGCAGUACCGUCAGCACCAGGAGCACCAUCCCAACUCUUGCAAGAUACCACGAAGAUGUCAUUAGAAGAAGUUCUGAGGCAGACUGGAUCGAAGUUAAUAGCUCCGAAGAGAGCAGUGUCUCCUAAACACCCAGUGCCUCAUAAAGAUGCCGUUGAACUUCUUGUACCACAAGGAUCACUGCCUCAAAAUGAUUCGAGCUCUACUGAGACAAACCAAUCCAAAUCCGCAGUGAUUCCAUCAUCAUCACAAGUUUCAUUGGAUGCUAAAAGCAAUUCCUCACAAGCAGUUACUCAGAAAAAUAGUAAUCCAUUGGCUGGGAUCAGGCAGAUAGUUUCUUCACAAACUCCAUCACAAGUUCUGUCUGAAACCCAAAUAUCUUUAUCGAUCCAAUCGGCUCCACUAUGCCCAAAAAUUGAAGCCGAACAUGAGGUGUAGGAGAUGAGCGACAAUCUUGUUAGACCAAAUUGUCUUCCAGCAUCAUCUGGGAACACUAAUGUUAAGGUUGCUAACACCACCACCCCUAAUGAUAUUGCCUUCAUCUGCGCUCUGAUGCCUACAAUACAGCACCCUGCUGUUUCUUUGGAUUACCAUUUGUACAUCUAAUAUCACUGAAUUUGAUGAAACAUAAUCUCAUUUUGUAUGUCA